RNAcentral lists this unclassified non-coding RNA (279 nucleotides) under plant metagenome. Its description in RNAcentral is "partial contains small subunit ribosomal RNA, internal transcribed spacer 1, and 5.8S ribosomal RNA". The record is from RNAcentral.
UUUCCGUAGGUGAACCUGCGGAAGGAUCAUUAUUGAAUUAUCGAGGUUCGAGGGCUGUCGCUGAACCGACAGGUUGUGCACGCCUGAAUGUAUUCACAGACAUCCAUCUAAAGUAUCUGUGUACCACCGCGUGCGUACUCCUUUGGCUGGUUCGGAGGUGGGAUUCUGUUCAAACACUAUAUCUGAAUGUAGUGUAACAAGAAAUUUUUCUAUUUGUGAUCUCGCAAUCCUCUCAACUUUGAACAACGGAUCUCAUGGGUCUCGCACCGAUCAAGAACC